This is a long non-coding RNA of Thalassophryne amazonica, 229 nucleotides long. RefSeq lists it as uncharacterized. The transcript has 3 exons. The record is from RefSeq and is a predicted model, not a curated record. NCBI's taxonomy places the organism in Eukaryota, Metazoa, Chordata, Actinopteri, Batrachoidiformes, Batrachoididae.
CAAUGUCAAUCAUCAAUAUUUUGCCCUUGUUAAGUUAAAAGAAAAGUUAUUGGACAGUUUUUGAGAAAAUUGGGUCCAAAUACCCAAACUGGCCAUUUUCGGCAUAAAAAUGGCCACCAUUUCCAAACGAACAAAUCUAUAGCUAUAAUUUUUUGAAGUGAAAUAUGUCAAGGACCCAUCUUAUGCCUUUGACAAAUUAGGAAAAAACAUUUUCAAAUGAGACUGUUUU